AUGGGACCUGCCUACGGCCCAUCUCCGGCCUUGGCCCUGUCAUCUGUGAAUGUGGGUGACGGUCCACCUCGCCGCCCCGGCCUGAGGGUUAGCAGAGGCCCGGAGAUGAGGAAGGAGUGUGUUACGGGCCCUGGGGAAGUGUGUGUGUGUGUGUGUGUGUGUGUGUGUGUGUGUGUGUGCACCCUGGGGAAGUGUGUGUGUGUACUGUGUUACAUGUGUCCUGUGUAUGCAUGUACACCUCAGGGAAGUGUGUGUGUGUAUACUAUGUAUGCGUGUGUACCCUGGGGAAGUGUGUGUGUGUACUAUGUUACAUGUGUCCUGUGUAUGCAUGUACACCCCAGGGAAGUGUGUGUGUGUGUUACAUGUAUGCAUGUACAUCCCGGGGAAGUGUUUGUGUGGUGUGUGUGUACUGUGUUACAUAUGUCCUGUGUAUGCAUGUGCACCCUGGGGAAGUGUGUGCGUGUGUACUGUUACAUGUGUCCUGUGUUACAUGUGUCCUGUGUAUGCAUGUGCACCCCAGGGAAGUGUGUGUGUAUUGUGUAUGCAUGUGCACCCUGGGGAAGUGUGUAUGUGUGUACUAUUACAUGUGUCCUGUGUUACAUGUGUCCUGUGUAUGCAUGUACAUCCUGGGGAAGUGAGUGUGUGUGUCCUGUGUUACAUGUGUCCUGUGUAUGCAUGUACACCCCAGGGAAGUGCGUGUGUGUAUACUAUGUAUGCGUGUGUACCCUGGGGAGGUGUGUGUGUAUACUAUGUUACAUGUGUCCUCUGUAUGCAUGUACACCCCAGGGAAGUGUGUGUGUGUGUUACAUGUAUGCAUGUACAUCCCGGGGAAGUGUUUGUGUGGUGUGUGUGUACUGUGUUACAUGUGACCUGUGUAUGCAUGUGCACUGCGGGGAAGUGUGUGUGUGUGUCCUGUGUAUGCAUGUGCACCCUGGGGAAGUGUGUGCAUGUGUACGUUACAUGUUUCCUGUGUUACAUGUGUCCUGUGUAUGCAUGUGCACCCCAGGGAAGUGUGUGUGUGUGUAUACUGUGUAUGCACGUUCAGCAGUCUUUGUUUCAGUCUUGACAUGUGCCUGA
Molecule: long non-coding RNA, 1077 nt
Filed under: Bos indicus x Bos taurus (hybrid cattle)
Lineage: Eukaryota; Metazoa; Chordata; Mammalia; Artiodactyla; Bovidae
Description: lncRNA (ENSBIXG00000018817.1)
Source: RNAcentral